This 470-nucleotide ribosomal RNA is filed under the name uncultured bacterium. Its description in RNAcentral is "partial 16S ribosomal RNA". It matches the Rfam family "Bacterial small subunit ribosomal RNA", at positions 28 to 507 of the family's 1533-position model. The record is from RNAcentral.
GACGAACGCUGGCGGCGUGCUUAACACAUGCAAGUCGAACGGUGAACGAGGGAGCUUGCUCCCUCCGGAUCAGUGGCGAACGGGUGAGUAACACGUGAGCAAUCUGCCCCGAACUCUGGGAUAAGCGUUGGAAACGACGUCUAAUACCGGAUACGACGCGGGAGGGCAUCCUCUCCGCGUGGAAAGAACUUCGGUUCGGGAUGAGCUCGCGGCUUAUCAGCUUGUUGGUGGGGUAACGGCUCACCAAGGCGACGACGGGUAGCCGGCCUGAGAGGGUGACCGGCCACACUGGGACUGAGACACGGCCCAGACUCCUACGGGAGGCAGCAGUGGGGAAUAUUGCACAAUGGGCGGAAGCCUGAUGCAGCAACGCCGCGUGAGGGACGACGGCCUUCGGGUUGUAAACCUCUUUUAGCAGGGAAGAAGCGAAAGUGACGGUACCUGCAGAAAAAGCACCGGCUAACUACGUG